UGUCCAGGGAUGGGAAUCGAACCUACAUUGUUCCGCUUACCGGGCCGAUGCCAUGUCCACUAGGCUAACCUGGAC
Molecule: transfer RNA, 75 nt
Filed under: Cordylochernes scorpioides
Lineage: Eukaryota; Metazoa; Arthropoda; Arachnida; Pseudoscorpiones; Chernetidae
Description: tRNA-Thr
Source: RNAcentral